GACGCGGCGGCAGGCCUACACAUGCAGUCGAACGGUAGCACAGAGAGCUUGCUCUCGGGUGACGAGUGGCGGACGGGUGAGUAAUGUCUGGGAAACUGCCUGAUGGAGGGGGAUAACUACUGGAAACGGUAGCUAAUACCGCGUAACGUCGCAAGACCAAAGAGGGGGACCUUCAGGCCUCUUGCCAUCAGAUGUGCCCAGACGGGAUUAGCUAGUAGGUGGGGUAACGGCUCACCUAGGCGACGAUCCCUAGCUGGUCUGAGAGGAUGACCAGCCACACUGGAACUGAGACACGGUCCAGACUCCUACGGGAGGCAGCAGUGGGGAAUAUUGCACAAUGGGCGCAAGCCUGAUGCAGCCAUGCCGCGUGUAUGAAGAAGGCCUUCGGGUUGUAAAGUACUUUCAGCGGGGAGGAAGGUGUUGUGGUUAAUAACCACAGCAAUUGACGUUACCCGCAGAAGAAAGCACCGGCUAACUCCGUGCCAGCAGCCGCGGUAAUACGGAGGGUGCAAGC
This 514-nucleotide ribosomal RNA is filed under the name uncultured bacterium. Its description in RNAcentral is "bacterial SSU rRNA". It matches the Rfam family "Bacterial small subunit ribosomal RNA", at positions 38 to 536 of the family's 1533-position model. The record is from RNAcentral.